GACGAACGCUGGCGGCGUGCUUAACACAUGCAAGUCGAACGGAAAGGCCCUGCUUUUGUGGGGUGCUCGAGUGGCGAACGGGUGAGUAACACGUGAGUAACCUGCCCUUGACUUUGGGAUAACUUCAGGAAACUGGGGCUAAUACCGGAUAGGAGCUCCUGCUGCAUGGUGGGGGUUGGAAAGUUUCGGCGGUUGGGGAUGGACUCGCGGCUUAUCAGCUUGUUGGUGGGGUAGUGGCUUACCAAGGCUUUGACGGGUAGCCGGCCUGAGAGGGUGACCGGCCACAUGGGGACUGAGAUGCGGCGCAGACUCCUACGGGAGGCAGCAGUGGGGAAUAUUGCACAAUGGGCGGAAGCCUGAGGCAGCAACGCCGCGUGCGGGAUGACGGCCUUCGGGUUGUAAACCGCUUUCGCCUGUGACGAAGCGUGAGUGACGGUAAUGGGUAAAGAAGCACCGGCUAACUACGUG
RNAcentral lists this ribosomal RNA (468 nucleotides) under uncultured bacterium. RNAcentral's name for it is "partial 16S ribosomal RNA". It matches the Rfam family "Bacterial small subunit ribosomal RNA", at positions 28 to 507 of the family's 1533-position model. The record is from RNAcentral.